AAAUCUACCUGCACUUGUUGGUGAAACCAAGCAUUUUGUUGAUGUCAUUGGUCUGAUCGCGGAAGUGGCUGAUGCAACCCCGAUCUAGCUCAGCAAUCACAGCAAGCCUACAGCUCGAAGGACUAUUACACUUAGAGACACCAGCAACUAUCAGAUCAAACUUUAUCUUUGGGGUCAGAGAGCUUCUGAAUUUGAUGCUGAUGAGGUAUAUGCAAUCGGGGAAAAAGACCCAGUCAUUGCUAUCUUCGUUGGAACGCUUAUGAAAUCUUAUAAAGGUGUAAUCCUAGACAGCUCGGUAUUCUUUGGUCCCUACAGACUAUUUGCAUGCCCUUUUUUUAGAAUUGCUUCCGUCCCUGUGAUUUCCUUUUCAGGUGAGCAUUCGCUGAGCACAAAUACAGCUUGUCGGUGGUACAACAACCCUGAUGUCCCUGAGACCCAUGAUAUUCUGCACAGCCUACAUGGCAGUUUCGAGCCUGUGCAGCGCAUUCCAGCGGAUGACCAAGUCCCUGUUCCUCAACCUGUGAAUCUUGAGCCACAGCACAAAACUUUAGAAGAGAUGUUUCGCAUUAGUCCAUACGACUUCCCACCUGAAGGCUUCUGAUGCACCGUUAUUAUUUCGCGAAUCAAUCCACUUGUAUCCUGGUGUUUCCCAUCGUGCAAUUGCUGCACCAAAACUGCGCUUCCUGAUGGAGCUGGAUAUAAAUGCCCGCACUGCAAAUGCACAGCCUCCAAGUUCAAGUAAUGGUUUCUUGCUAUACAUAUGUGUGCCUCCUACAAAUUCUCGUACCGUCAUUAGAAUUUGUGCUUUUUGGUGAUAUGGGACGCCGGCUUGUUCAUAAAGAUGUCAAGCUGUUAAUGAGCUCUUCCCGCACCUUUGACGCUAUUCCAAGCGAAAUAGCCUCGUUGGUUUCCCAAAAAUACCAGUUCACAGUUAUGUAACCAGCAAGUGUUUUGAAAAGCCACAGCGCUCAUAUGAGGUGAAGCACAUCCACUGUGCCUUGGUCAUCAAGCUACCGUUCCAACAAUCAGAAGGUCCACCGAUGCAUUUCCUGAUGAGACACGAAAGGCGGUUUUGUCAAUUGCCUGUUCAUCUGACCCUUCAGAACCACACAAAGUCCACCAGGUCGAAAUUUCCUCUCUACCUCAGAACGUGAAAGAUACCCCGCCACCCAAGGACUCUCCGAACCUGACCGCGUUAAAGAACAAACAGCCUCCUUUCUCUGCUGAUCACCCAGCUGCUGCCAAAGAAGGCAGGAAUGUGUGCAGACAGCUACUCAUGGGGUUCAAACAAGCACAAUGACUCUCUUGAUGAUGACCUGGGAGACGAUUUGGGUGCUCCUACUACUAGGUGUCCACUUGGUUCUGAUGGAGAUGGUACUUCUGAUGUUCCCAGUGGUGAUACCGCAGCCUAGUGAGCCUUCUUUGAAUUCCUCAACAAAAUAGCUAGCGGUAGGUACUCUUCCUUACAAGCUCUUCACCGCCAUUAUUAGUCAUCCGUUUGCUCCUUCUGUUACUUCCAGGUACGAAGUUAAUGGCCUGCGCUUUCAUUUUGUUGUGGAUAUCGAUCUUGGCUGGACCCUACCAGCCAUGAACCUUCGUAUAUAUAAUCGCCUUAGUCGUUAGCCUCGCCAUUCUGUGACCUCCUGCCUAUGUAACGUAGCUCUACCUCGCGCUCUGCUAAACCUGCAUGGUUCGGCUCCGAGCUAAGUGUAGGGGCUGACUUUUGAACAACCAUUUCUGUAAAUACCUACUCAGGUUCCUAUCAGUCCUUUUGGUGUA
Molecule: long non-coding RNA, 1779 nt
Organism: Phragmites australis (common reed)
Lineage: Eukaryota; Viridiplantae; Streptophyta; Magnoliopsida; Poales; Poaceae
Exons: 11
Source: RefSeq, a predicted model, not a curated record